CUUUGUUCUGGCUUGCAGGACGACUGUCCAGGGCCCUCUCCUUUCCUGGACGUAACAGAUACAAGUGGUAAGUAUUGAGAGUUUGGAUGCACAAUGGAUACCUGCUGCUACUUUUGACGAACUCCGAGGCGACCCAGCGGAUUAUACUCCCGGUCGUCCAGAUGCUGGGGGAACUGCCCAAGGGCUGCCGGGAUCCAACUAAAACCGUACUGGUAAGUGUACGGGAGGGGGUUUCCACGGUCUCUGUAUCCUGAGUGACGAGUCGACAUGCAGGUAGACGCUUCAAAGGGACCCGCUAGAUCUGCACAAGAGCAUAAAGGUAAGUGUAACAGGACUGGACACGGAUAGUGGACAGAGGGGCCGCUGGCUCUUCACUCGGGGGCACAAGUAAGUCCGUAGGAAAGACAACUGGGGUUUCACUUGAGCAUACAGGCGAGUGUACAACACAAUAUGUUGGCUUUAGCUUUGGGCAUAAGGUAAGUACAUCCAAUACAACUGGGACUUCACUCUGGGCAGACAGGCGAGUGUACAACACAAUAUGCUGGCUUUAGCUUUGGGCAUAAGGUAAGUACAUCCAAUAUAACUGGGACUUUACUCUGGGCAGACAGGCGAGUGUACAACACAAUAUGCUGGCUUUAGCUUUGGGCAUAAGGUAAGUACAUCCAAUACAACUGGGACUUCACUCUGGGCAGACAGGCGAGUGUACAACACAAUAUGCUGGCUUUAGCUUUGGGCAUAGGGUAAGUACAUCCAAUAUAACUGGGACUUUACUCUGGGCAGACAGGUAAUAAUACACGCACAGCUGAUUUCCUCCUACAGCAGCCAACUCCUCACCAUUGAUACUUCCCAAUAGAUCCACACUGUUCUUACUUGAAAUUGUUUCCCACCACCGUCACGUGGGGAAGAAGGGUCAGGAUGUCA
Molecule: long non-coding RNA, 921 nt
Organism: Cyprinus carpio carpio
Lineage: Eukaryota; Metazoa; Chordata; Actinopteri; Cypriniformes; Cyprinidae
Source: Ensembl